RNAcentral lists this transfer RNA (70 nucleotides) under Xenopus laevis (African clawed frog). It matches the Rfam family "tRNA". From Rfam's summary of the family: Transfer RNA (tRNA) molecules are approximately 80 nucleotides in length. Their secondary structure includes four short double-helical elements and three loops (D, anti-codon, and T loops). Further hydrogen bonds mediate the characteristic L-shaped molecular structure. tRNAs have two regions of fundamental functional importance: the anti-codon, which is responsible for specific mRNA codon recognition, and the 3' end, to which the tRNAs corresponding amino acid is attached (by aminoacyl-tRNA synthetases). tRNAs cope with the degeneracy of the genetic code in two manners: having more than one tRNA (with a specific anti-codon) for a particular amino acid; and 'wobble' base-pairing, i.e. permitting non-standard base-pairing at the 3rd anti-codon position. The record is from Rfam by way of RNAcentral. Lineage: Eukaryota; Metazoa; Chordata; Amphibia; Anura; Pipidae.
GCACCAGUGGUGUAGGGGUAUCAUGCAAAAUUCCCAUUCUUGUGACCUGUGUUCAAGUCCCAGCUGGUCA